Molecule: ribosomal RNA, 253 nt
Filed under: uncultured bacterium
Lineage: Bacteria
Also listed under: 1 other name
Description: partial 16S ribosomal RNA
Rfam family: Bacterial small subunit ribosomal RNA
Source: RNAcentral
GACGAACCGUGCGAACGUUGUUCGGAAUCACUGGGCUUAAAGGGCGCGUAGGCGGGUGUGCAAGUCUGCGGUGAAAGCCUCCAGCUUAACUGGAGAAGUGCCGUGGAUACUGCUCAUCUUGAGGAGGGUAGGGGCAUCUGGAACGGUCGGUGGAGCGGUGAAAUGCGUUGAUAUCGACCGGAACUCCGGUGGCGAAGGCGAGGUGCUGGACCCUUUCUGACGCUGAGGCGCGAAAGCCAGGGGAGCAAACGGG